This is a long non-coding RNA of Sycon ciliatum, 836 nucleotides long. RefSeq lists it as uncharacterized. Lineage: Eukaryota; Metazoa; Porifera; Calcarea; Leucosolenida; Sycettidae. The record is from RefSeq and is a predicted model, not a curated record. The transcript has 7 exons.
GCCCCGUCGACGCGUCGUCUACUCUGGUGGUGUGUUCUUUUCUGGCCUGAAGUUUGCUGUGAUGAUGCCCGUCAUGCCUCCCUUUCAACACUCUCAACUGCAAUUCUCAGCUUCGUUUGCGGCUUUUGAUCCUGCUGUACGCUAGCCGAGGACUGUUUGCUCUAUCUACAAAACAUUCCGUAAGAAGAAAAUCAUCAUCUCUGCCUCGUGCUAUGUCCUCUUCACCGACGUUGCUCUUUCCGUCCGGAUGACGCGAUUGCUUCUAAUAUCAUGGCGCUCGCCGGCCUCGGCUUCUAACUACGACUUCACCAUAAACAUGGUUGUGAAGAGUUGAAGGAAAUCGUGAUCCGUAUCAGUUCGCCUCUAUUUCGGAAGCAUCCCAAAAAUCGCUCCAGAUCCAUGACUCUUGGCCAAGUGUUACUGAAGACCGAAUGCUUUUCAGGAGCUUGCAAUCUAUCCUUCAUGGAGCAGUCUCUCCACCACCAAGCUUGGUAUCACUGAAACCACCAGGUCGAUAUGGGUCAACAAUCUGGAUAAAGACAUUGGGAAAUUCAGAUGGUGUGUCUGCAUGUUUGAUUAUGAAGUCUGGUUUCUCACGCACGCAGGCCCUGUAACCCUACUGGAAAUGCGUCUGAUCUCCUACCCUGACGUUGAGAGAAGUUGAUGAUCCUGUUCUUUUGCUAUGUAAUCCUAUUCACCUUUUUGGAUCUUCUUGUUUUUGGAAAAUAUCUUCAGUACCUUUGUUUGCAAUAAUCAUGAUUGCACAUCAGCUCCAAUCCAGUACAAUUUUCUCCGUGUUCAUGUGUGAUAUUCAGGCCAUGUUACAUCCGGUUUUA